Molecule: non-coding RNA, 229 nt
Organism: Pelobates cultripes (western spadefoot toad)
Lineage: Eukaryota; Metazoa; Chordata; Amphibia; Anura; Pelobatidae
Source: the annotation of a GenBank genome assembly
GGCAUUUCUGUUAGUCACUCUACAGUUUAAUGUUGUCAGCCCUCGGGUCAGGCAGGUACUCAUUGGGCCAGCAUUGUUGGUAAGUCACUGUUUAGUAGAUAUGCCCAUUUAAGAUAUGUUUAUAUCUGAAGCUAAUACACUGAGAUAUUCUACUAUUUUUUUCUAGCAUUUCCUGUUGCUUUCAACCCUAAUCUUUUAUGCCAGCGGUGCAUGCAUAAGUAUUUAACAU